Molecule: ribosomal RNA, 470 nt
Filed under: Lipeurus caponis
Lineage: Eukaryota; Metazoa; Arthropoda; Insecta; Psocodea; Philopteridae
Description: SSU rRNA
Rfam family: Eukaryotic small subunit ribosomal RNA
Source: RNAcentral
CUUGUCUCAAAGAUUAAGCCAUGCAUGUCUCAGUGCAAGCCAAAUUAAGGUGAAACCGCGAAAGGCUCAUUAAAUCAGCUAUGGUUCCUUAGAUGGUACGUACAGUUACUUGGAUAACUGUGGCAAUUCUAGAGCUAAUACAUGCAAACCGAGUUCCGACCGCUUCGCAGGCGGAAGGAAUGCUUUUAUUAGAUCAAAACCAAUCGGACUCCUCCGCGGGUCCGUCACGCCUUGGUGACUCUGAAUAACUUUGAGCUGAUCGCACGGUCCCGUACCGGCGACGCAUCUUUCAAAUGUCUGACUUAUCAACUUUCGAUGGUAGGCUCUGCGCCUACCAUGGUCGUAACGGGUAACGGGGAAUCAGGGUUCGAUUCCGGAGAGGGAGCCUGAGAAACGGCUACCACAUCCAAGGAAGGCAGCAGGCGCGCAAAUUACCCACUCCCGGCACGGGGAGGUAGUGACGAAAAAUA